RNAcentral lists this long non-coding RNA (548 nucleotides) under Rosa chinensis. Its description in RNAcentral is "sRNA RchiOBHm_Chr6g0310271". Lineage: Eukaryota; Viridiplantae; Streptophyta; Magnoliopsida; Rosales; Rosaceae. The record is from RNAcentral.
CUUGUGGUAUGAAACUCACUCUCAUCACGCUCUGCACGUUAGUCUAAUUAGUUUUUCAAUUCGAUUGAGAUUAAUGGAUUGUGUUUCUGGAUAUGCUUCGGACGCCGUCGAAAUUGACGUUGUCGGUGGUUGUUUGGGCUUCCUCUGUUUAACUUCUGCGUCCUAACCACCACUUGGGUCUUGGUCGAGAUAAAUCUGCAGUCUUGGGUUGAGUUGAUCAACUCAGAAUCGACUAGGCUGACUCCGGUUUGCUGUGUUCUUCGACAGAGAGCCGACCUGCAAUUUGGGAUUUUGUUUGUGAUCGAGUUUGAUGGCAAGGUUAGUUAGAAUCCAUUGACAGUUCUGGGAACUUGAUUGUAUAGUUUGCUUCUGAAGUUGAAUGCCUGUGUUUACAAGUUUACUGUGAAGUUGUGUUGAGAAUGGUGGAUUGAAUUGGUAUGGGUUCGUUUCUGGUUGGUACUUACUGUUUUGGUUGCGUUGAUUUAAAUCGGAAGAGAUGUUGGUUCUACGGAACCAGGCCAUCAGGUAAAUCGCACGUUGUUUUCUAA